ACACUCUUGUUUCUCUUCAGAUCGUAUNACUAAAGAUUUCCGUGGAGAGGAACAAUAAGAGUUUUACCCAAUUUUUUGAUGCCCUGCGCAAGUGGGGCU
This 99-nucleotide small nuclear RNA is filed under the name Periophthalmus magnuspinnatus. RNAcentral describes it as "U5 spliceosomal RNA (ENSPMGG00000002973.1)". It matches the Rfam family "U5 spliceosomal RNA". From Rfam's summary of the family: U5 RNA is a component of both types of known spliceosome. The precise function of this molecule is unknown, though it is known that the 5' loop is required for splice site selection and p220 binding, and that both the 3' stem-loop and the Sm site are important for Sm protein binding and cap methylation. Lineage: Eukaryota; Metazoa; Chordata; Actinopteri; Gobiiformes; Gobiidae. The record is from RNAcentral.